Cygnus olor (mute swan) is the source of this 2385-nucleotide long non-coding RNA. RefSeq lists it as uncharacterized. The transcript has 4 exons. Lineage: Eukaryota; Metazoa; Chordata; Aves; Anseriformes; Anatidae. The record is from RefSeq and is a predicted model, not a curated record.
CUCCUCUCCUGUGGAGCAUUGAGCCCCAUGAAGGAGGCUAUGGGAGACAACUGAAAUACCAACCAGAGCUACACAGUUACAUCCUAAGCUCUGCUUGCCUUUUCUUCACUGAGUUAUCAUCUUAAAUAAGCACGUAAACUAGAGAGAAUGCUAGUAUUCUGCAGAGAAUAUGAGUGAUUCCACUAUUUUGGGGGCUCCCCUUGACUCAUGAUGUGUGACGUUGACAUCUCUCCCCCAUUCGAGCUUUGGGAAGAACGGUAUUGACCUGUAGCUCAGUCUUUGCAUGGACUACGUGGAUUGAAGAUCUCCUUGCUCAGUAACAAGCCACUUCGUUUUCAGAUUUGAAGAAAAAGAAAUGUAAUAUGAAAAGCUGGUAGCUCCAUUAUCCAGAGCAUGAUGGAUUGGAGGGACUGCAUGCUGGAAAAAGCAAGAAAUCUGCUAAGGAGCCAUUCACUAAUUGCAGCAUUUUCAUCAGACUACAUUUUCUAUGAGUUCUAGACACCUACUCAGAUCAGUGAGGCCAAGGCUCCCAGGUGAGGAUUUGGGGAAGCAAUUCCUGCCAGACACCAUGAUGCAGAAAGCCCCUGGGGAUGCCCUCUUCCAUCAAACCUUGCACAUUAACCAACUGCAAGGAAUGUGCUGCUGAUCCCAAGUGAUGGUGUCACACUGUGAUUGAUGGAGUAGGCAUAGGAUGGUGCAGGCUGGGAGCUGCCAAAAAUCUUAGGAGGACCUUAGUAUCAACCUGCACGCUCUUCCAUGAGGUCUGGAUUGAUGAGGUGGAGGCAUACAUCAGCGUUCUGCAGCCAAGCUACUCAGAACACAUCACAAGACCUCGAAAUGACAUAUUUAUUUCCUAAAGCCUGUCGCCCCUCAGGUUGGCUUUCCCUGCUAGUGACUGGAAGCUCCAACAGCAGCAAGUGGCCUGCCUUAUACCCUUUUACCUCUGACGAUCGAGCCAUCUUUGGUAGGGAGUGCCAUACUUGCAUGUACUCCUCACAGCAACAGAGAGGCUGCAGGGAAGAAGCAAGCCAGGCAAAUCUUGGCAGAUUAUGAAGAAGCUAUGUGAGUACUCUGAUUCAGUGCAGGACAGACACAGGAGUGGUAUAGGCUUCAGAAAUAAGCUUGUGUGCUAUCCAGCUACCCUUUAUUCAGUACUGGUCCUUCUGAGGCAAGUGAUUUGGCUAUAGCCAAAUUCUUUGCUGCCCUCUUUGUGUGGUGAAGGUUCAAGAAUGCAGAGGCUGUUUCCUCCGAACAAGGUCCCAGGGAAGAAAUUCAGCUACAAACAAUGCAGUUGUAUGUAGUUUCCUUCUUGGACAUUUCCCCAUGGAAGUGGAGAACUUUUCUGUCUGAAGAAAUAUAAGCAAGCACAUUUUAUUAUCUGAAGUACUGUGGCUGUAUUUGAACACUAUCCCCUCUCACUCCCUCACUCCCCUGGUUAUAAUUUUCUGAGAUUCUGUCACAGCUUUUUCAUAACACCUGUUUUUGAUUGGUCUAAUUUUAACAGGGCCACGUAGAGCACAGCCAUAGGGAUAAUCAAAUGUCCUGCUUUAUGGUCUCAACUCAAUUCAGCAAGUAUUUUGUUAAUAUGCAGUGUGUGUUUGCCUAUAGUAAUAACAUUUAUAAUCAGAUCAAAUAAUCUUUUGCAGUUGUAAUACAUUCUUGGGAGGAUAUUUAAAUAUAGGUUCCCUGGAGAGUUGCUGGGAUAAUGUUGUAAAUAGAAAGGGCUCAUUCUCAUAAUAUUGUCCAAAGUUCCUUCACUGCCUACAUAAAUUUGUUUUUUCCCCAACUACUUAAAGGGAACAUUUUGACUAAGUAAAAUACCGAGUUAAAAUUAUAUACUUAUAUGCUUUACUCAAGAUUGAAACUUUGAAAUUACUAUUAUUUUGUAUGUUAUAAUACUGUGUGUUGAUAUUAGUGUGUUAAUUGGCCAUCUUCAUGUUGUGCUUGAGCUCAGGCACCUCUCAAAAGGUCAAGAUGUUGAUCCUGUCCUCACAACUGCUCCUGGGAGAGUGGAUAAGAACCUGUCAGACUGUGAGGGCAAUAGGAUUUCUGGUGACUCUUCAGGAAACCUGUUAAAACUAGUGUCAUUUUUUCUCAUUUUCAUGUUGUUUCCAGUCUUCUUUGCCAUGGCAUUUGUCUCUUUUUCUUGCUUGCUAGACUGCCCCAUGGUGCUACAAUGUUUGUGGUGUCAGCUCUGGUGGGCAUGAUGCAGAUAUCGUGAAUGUGUGUCAGUGGGGAGAGGAGACAAAGGACUUUGACCCAACUUACCUAUCAGACUGCAAGGAAAGUGUCCUGGCUAUCCUUCCUUCUCUGAGUUUCUUGGAGUACAUCUUCUGCCGAGUCAUGUAAGAAAACUCUGCAUCUUUCCUCAUUACCUUGUGGCUG